This 481-nucleotide ribosomal RNA is filed under the name uncultured bacterium. RNAcentral describes it as "partial 16S ribosomal RNA". It matches the Rfam family "Bacterial small subunit ribosomal RNA", at positions 28 to 507 of the family's 1533-position model. The record is from RNAcentral.
GAUGAACGCUGGCGGCGUGCUUAACACAUGCAAGUCGAACGAAGCAUUUGCGACAGAUUUUUUCGGAAUGAAGUUGCUUAUGACUGAGUGGCGGACGGGUGAGUAACGCGUGGGUAACCUGCCUUGUACUGGGGGAUAGCAGCUGGAAACGGCUGGUAAUACCGCAUAAGCGCACAAUGUUGCAUGACAUGGUGUGAAAAACUCCGGUGGUAUAAGAUGGACCCGCGUCUGACUAGCUAGUUGGUGAGAUAACAGCCCACCAAGGCGACGAUCAGUAGCCGACCUGAGAGGGUGACCGGCCACAUUGGGACUGAGACACGGCCCAGACUCCUACGGGAGGCAGCAGUGGGGAAUAUUGCACAAUGGAGGAAACUCUGAUGCAGCGACGCCGCGUGAGUGAAGAAGUAAUUCGUUAUGUAAAGCUCUAUCAGCAGGGAAGAUAGUGACGGUACCUGACUAAGAAGCUCCGGCUAAAUACGUG